RNAcentral lists this long non-coding RNA (1026 nucleotides) under Helianthus annuus (common sunflower). Its description in RNAcentral is "hypothetical non coding rna". The record is from RNAcentral. Lineage: Eukaryota; Viridiplantae; Streptophyta; Magnoliopsida; Asterales; Asteraceae.
AAGAAUUAGUAGAUACCACACUUCCUGUAACUUGCUUAAUUAAGAGUUGAAAAGGUUCCCACCAUUGAAAUAAAAGCUCAAAAUAAAAAUUGCAAUUCCAACACAUCAUGUCCAUUUAAAAUUCUAGAACAAUAAGUACGAUCAACGAACCAUCUGCAGCCCUCAGAUAUCCAUCGGAGCGGUCUCUUCCUCCGCAGCAGCUCCUCCCUGGUCAGCGGCAGCACCACCAGCAGCUUCCUCUGCACCACCAGCAGCUGCAGGGGCUUCUUCCCCAGAAAUCUCAAACUCGUUAAUCAAUGCUUGUACAGUUGCUUGAUCCAGUAUAUUAAACGCUUCUCCUACUCCAACCACAGAAACCGUGCACACACUGCUGGUGAGUUUUUCUCCUUGCAGGGUCUCUCUGAUGGCAAAUAGCGCGUCCUUGAUGAGCUCGUCUCGGGAAGAUUGUGGGAAAUUCUCAAACUUACGUUCCAAGUACGUUUUAGCAGCUUGUGAACGGGACCCGAUGGCGAAGGCUUGAUAUUCGAAGUAGUUUCCACUAGGGCAGUUGUAGUAGAGAUGGGCCCCGGAUUCGUCUAAUCCAGCAACUAACAGACCAACACCAUAUGGACGUUUCCAUGACCGCUGGGUCUUUAUCGGCCAAUUGAACAACUAAGCGGCCAACAGGAAGCGGAGAUUCAUAAGUAUAGCCAUAAUUAAUACACUCGGAUCGCAUAUACCGCGACAAAACACGACCGUCAGCGGUUAAACCGGCGAUAGCGACACCGAUAUGGUCAUCAACCUUGAAGAUCUUCCGCUGGUGGGAAGAAAGCUCUGAGUUGGCCUUGUUGACGCAGGCGAGAACGGCGUGAGUGUUGGAUCGGAGGCCUAUGGCUGCAGAUCCUUGCUUAACGGCUUCCAUGGCGUAUUCGACCUGGAAUAAACGGCCUUGUGGUGACCAUGUGGUGACGUCGGUGUCGUAUUGGUUUCUGAACAUGGUGGAAUGAUUGAUGAAGAAGAAGUGUUGGUUGUUUAGGGUUAGAGUGU